This 175-nucleotide ribosomal RNA is filed under the name uncultured Erwinia sp. RNAcentral's name for it is "partial 16S ribosomal RNA". Lineage: Bacteria; Pseudomonadati; Pseudomonadota; Gammaproteobacteria; Enterobacterales; Erwiniaceae. The record is from RNAcentral.
UAGAUUGCGCAUGGGCGCAGCCUGAUGCAGCCAUCGCCGCGUGAGUGAUGAAGGCCUUCGGGUUGUAAAGCACUUUCAGCGGGGAGGAUGGGGGUAGUACUAGUACCUUAACCCCUUGCUAUUUCCCUGCCAACAGCCGCGGUAAUACUUCGUGCCUGCGCCGCGGGAAUAGAAA